RNAcentral lists this ribosomal RNA (398 nucleotides) under uncultured bacterium. Its description in RNAcentral is "bacterial SSU rRNA". It matches the Rfam family "Bacterial small subunit ribosomal RNA", at positions 28 to 428 of the family's 1533-position model. The record is from RNAcentral.
AUUGAACGCUGGCGGAAUGCUUUACACAUGCAAGUCGAGCGGCAGCGCGGGGCAACCUGGCGGCGAGCGGCGAACGGGUGAGUAAUGCAUCGGAACAUGUCCAUGUCGUGGGGGAUAGCCCGGCGAAAGCCGGAUUAAUACCGCAUACGCUCGAGAGAGGAAAGCCGGGGACCGCAAGGCCUGGCGCGAUUGGGUUGGCCGAUGUCCGAUUAGCUAGUUGGUGAGGUAAAGGCUUACCAAGGCGAUGAUCGGUAGCUGGUCUGAGAGGAUGAUCAGCCACACUGGGACUGAGACACGGCCCAGACUCCUACGGGAGGCAGCAGUGGGGAAUUUUGGACAAUGGGGGGCAACCCUGAUCCAGCCAUUCCGCGUGAGUGAAGAAGGCCUUCGGGUUGGUU